Transfer RNA from Camelus ferus (Wild Bactrian camel), 69 nucleotides. It matches the Rfam family "tRNA". From Rfam's summary of the family: Transfer RNA (tRNA) molecules are approximately 80 nucleotides in length. Their secondary structure includes four short double-helical elements and three loops (D, anti-codon, and T loops). Lineage: Eukaryota; Metazoa; Chordata; Mammalia; Artiodactyla; Camelidae. The record is from Rfam.
GAGGGUAUAGCUCAGUGGUAGAGCAUAUGCUUAGCAUGCAUAUGCUGGGUUCAAUCCCCAGUAUCUCCA